RNAcentral lists this transfer RNA (65 nucleotides) under Pelecyphorus foveolatus. RNAcentral's name for it is "tRNA-Trp". The record is from RNAcentral. Lineage: Eukaryota; Metazoa; Arthropoda; Insecta; Coleoptera; Tenebrionidae.
AAGGAUUUAAGUUAAAAAUAAACUAACAACCUUCAAAGUUGUAAAUAGAGAGGCUCUAAGCCUUA